Molecule: ribosomal RNA, 233 nt
Filed under: Taenia multiceps
Lineage: Eukaryota; Metazoa; Platyhelminthes; Cestoda; Cyclophyllidea; Taeniidae
Description: partial 12S ribosomal RNA
Source: RNAcentral
CUAUUAAUUUACUUUUAUUAUGUUGGUGUAUAUCUGGUUUAAUAUUAUUGUUGAAUAAUAUUAGUUUGUGUAAUUUUAUUAGUUAAGCCAAGUCUAUGUGCUGCUUAUAGAAGUAUUCAUGCGUUACUUUAAUAAAGUUUUAGUUGUAAGUACUAUCAUAUUCAGGACUUAAAAGUAAUGUUAAAUUAGUUUGUUAAUGUGAAAUAAGUUUAGCUCAUGUACACACCGCCAUA